CUUGACGGCGCCGAGCAGCAGGGGCCGGUCCGCCGGCCGGCCCUGGCCGUAGGUGGCCAGCACGGCGUGGGCCUC
This 75-nucleotide antisense RNA is filed under the name Pseudofrankia inefficax. RNAcentral describes it as "Frankia sp. EuI1c ASpks TB sRNA". It matches the Rfam family "ASpks TB sRNA". The record is from Rfam by way of RNAcentral. Lineage: Bacteria; Bacillati; Actinomycetota; Actinomycetes; Frankiales; Frankiaceae.